GAUGAAGAACGUAGCGAAAUGCGAUACUUGGUGUGAAUUGCAGAAUCCCGUGAACCAUCGAGUCUUUGAACGCAAGUUGCGCCCGAAGCCAUUAGGCCGAGGGCACGCCUGCCUGGGCGUCACACGUCGUUGCCCCCCCAUCUACUCCUUCGGGAUUGCGGGGGGCGGAUGAUGGCCUCCCGUGCGCCUCGUCGCGCGGUUGGCCUAAAUGCCAAGUCCUCGGCGACGCACGCCACGACAAUCGGUGGUUGCGAAACCUCGGUUGCCUGUCGUGUGCGGUCGUCGCGCAUCGAGGGCUCGAAAAAAUUGCCGGGCUUCGGCUCGACUUUCAACGCGACCCCAGGUCAGGCGGGGUUACCCGCUGAACUUAAGCAUAUCAAAAGCGGAGGA
RNAcentral lists this unclassified non-coding RNA (390 nucleotides) under soil metagenome. RNAcentral's name for it is "partial contains 5.8S ribosomal RNA, internal transcribed spacer 2, and large subunit ribosomal RNA". The stretch from base 1 to 122 matches the Rfam family "5.8S ribosomal RNA", at positions 35 to 154 of the family's 154-position model. The record is from RNAcentral.